AUGUCUUCAGAGGCCCAGCGGGCGGGUCGACGGCCGCCUCCCUCGGCAACGGAUCAGGCCGACAGGCGCAGAUCAGAUGUUGCAGCCGCAGCAGAGGAAGAAGCCGCAGAGCGCGGCGGAGAGGACGACGGCCUCGGCGGCGUAGAGGACGUGGAAGAGCGCGUCGUCGAGGAGGGACACCACGACCCCCGCCUUCUCCUCCCACCUCCACUGGUACGCCCGCGCGCUCUGCACCUGCACCUCCACGACCUUGAACCACCCGAGCGCCAUGGCCUCCUGCUCUUCGACCUCCGGUCCGGAUGGAUGGAUGGCUCUUUCUCUGGUGGCGGAUGCGCGGUUGCCUCGAUUUAA
Molecule: ribosomal RNA, 351 nt
Filed under: Triticum aestivum (bread wheat)
Lineage: Eukaryota; Viridiplantae; Streptophyta; Magnoliopsida; Poales; Poaceae
Description: partial small subunit ribosomal RNA
Source: RNAcentral